This 72-nucleotide transfer RNA is filed under the name Urocitellus parryii (Arctic ground squirrel). RNAcentral's name for it is "Spermophilus parryii (Arctic ground squirrel) tRNA". It matches the Rfam family "tRNA". Rfam says of the family: Transfer RNA (tRNA) molecules are approximately 80 nucleotides in length. The record is from Rfam by way of RNAcentral. Lineage: Eukaryota; Metazoa; Chordata; Mammalia; Rodentia; Sciuridae. RNAcentral also lists the same sequence under 2 other names.
UGGGUUGUAGCUCAGUGGUGGAGCGUUUACCUAGCACAUUUAAGGCACUGGGUUCAAUUCUCAGCACCACAU